RNAcentral lists this ribosomal RNA (162 nucleotides) under Verrucaria alpicola. RNAcentral describes it as "5.8S ribosomal RNA". It matches the Rfam family "5.8S ribosomal RNA". From Rfam's summary of the family: 5.8S ribosomal RNA (5.8S rRNA) is a component of the large subunit of the eukaryotic ribosome. It is transcribed by RNA polymerase I as part of the 45S precursor that also contains 18S and 28S rRNA. Functionally, it is thought that 5.8S rRNA may be involved in ribosome translocation. The record is from RNAcentral. Lineage: Eukaryota; Fungi; Ascomycota; Eurotiomycetes; Verrucariales; Verrucariaceae.
UAAAAAACUUUCAACAACGGAUCUCUUGGUUCUGGCAUCGAUGAAGAACGCAGCGAAAUGCGAUAAGUAAUGCGAAUUGCAGAAUUCCGUGAGUCAUCGAAUCUUUGAACGCACAUUGCGCCCCUUGGUAUUCCGAAGGGCAUGCCUGUUCGAGCGUCAUUA